This 253-nucleotide ribosomal RNA is filed under the name uncultured bacterium. RNAcentral's name for it is "partial 16S ribosomal RNA". It matches the Rfam family "Bacterial small subunit ribosomal RNA", at positions 524 to 776 of the family's 1533-position model. The record is from RNAcentral.
UACAGAGGGGGCAAGCGUUGUUCGGAAUUACUGGGCGUAAAGGGCGCGUAGGCGGCCGCCUAAGUCAGACGUGAAAUCCCUCGGCUCAACCGGGGAACUGCGUCUGAUACUGGGUGGCUUGAAUCCGGGAGAGGGAUGCGGAAUUCCAGGUGUAGCGGUGAAAUGCGUAGAUAUUCGCAAGAACACCAGUGGCGAAGGCGGCUCACUGGCCCGGUACUGACGCUGAGGUGCGAAAGCGUGGGGAGCAAACAGG